AGCUCCAAUAGCGUAUAUUAAAACUGUUGCGGUUAAAAAGCUCGUAGUUGGAUUUCUGCUUAGGAUGGCUCUUCUACCCCCUGGGUCUGUAUGAGUCAGCCCUGGGCAUCUUCUUGAACGCGUGCGUACUUCACUGUGUGGCGUGAUUCAAGACAUUUACUUUGAGGAAAUUAGAGUGGUUCAAGCAAGUUUGCGCCUUGAAUACAUUAGCAUGGAAUAAUAAUAUAGGACCUCGGUUCUAUUUUGUUGGUUUCUAGAGUCGAGGUAAUGAUUAAUAGGAAUUGUUUGGGGCAUUCGUAUUAAACUGUCAGAGGUGAAAUUCUUGGAUUGGUUAACGACGGACUACUGCGAAAGCAUUUGCCAAGGAUGUUUUCA
Molecule: ribosomal RNA, 375 nt
Filed under: uncultured eukaryote
Lineage: Eukaryota
Description: SSU rRNA
Rfam family: Eukaryotic small subunit ribosomal RNA
Source: RNAcentral